CACAUGCAAGUCGAGGGGCAGCGGAGAGGUAGCAAUACCUUUGCCGGCGACCGGCGCACGGGUGAGUAACACGUAUGCAAUCCACCUGUAACAGGGGGAUAACCCGGAGAAAUCCGGACUAAUACCCCAUAAUAUGGGCUCUCCGCAUGGAGGGUCCAUUAAAGAGAGCAAUUUUGGUUACAGACGAGCAUGCGCUCCAUUAGCCAGUUGGCGGGGUAACGGCCCACCAAAGCGACGAUGGAUAGGGGUUCUGAGAGGAAGGUCCCCCACAUUGGAACUGAGACACGGUCCAAACUCCUACGGGAGGCAGCAGUGAGGAAUAUUGGUCAAUGGUCGGCAGACUGAACCAGCCAAGUCGCGUGAGGGAAGACGGCCCUACGGGUUGUAAACCUCUUUUGUCGGAGAGUAAAGUACGCUACGUGUAGCGUAUUGCAAGUAUCCGAAGAAAAAGCAUCGGCUAACUCCGUGCCAGCAGCCGCGGUAAUACGGAGGAUGCAAGCGUUAUCCGGAUUUAUUGGGUUUAAAGGGUGCGUAGGCGGCACGCCAAGUCAGCGGUGAAAUUUCCGGGCUCAACCCGGACUGUGCCGUUGAAACUGGCGAGCUAGAGUGCACAAGAGGCAGGCGGAAUGCGUGGUGUAGCGGUGAAAUGCAUAGAUAUCACGCAGAACCCCGAUUGCGAAGGCAGCCUGCUAGGGUGCGACAGACGCUGAGGCACGAAAGCGUGGGUAUCGAACAGGAUUAGAUACCCUGGUAGUCCACGCAGUAAACGAUGAAUACUAACUGUUUGCGAUACAAUGUAAGCGGUACAGCGAAAGCGUUAAGUAUUCCACCUGGGGAGUACGCCGGCAACGGUGAAACUCAAAGGAAUUGACGGGGG
Molecule: ribosomal RNA, 877 nt
Filed under: uncultured bacterium
Lineage: Bacteria
Description: bacterial SSU rRNA
Rfam family: Bacterial small subunit ribosomal RNA
Source: RNAcentral